AUUGAACGCUGGCGGCAGGCCUAACACAUGCAAGUCGGACGAGCGGCGGACGGGUGAGUAAUGUAUGGGAAUCUGCCUGAUGGCGGGGGAUAACUACUGGAAACGGUAGCUAAUACCGCAUACCAUCAGAUGGACCCAUAUGGGAUUAGCUUGUUGGUGAGGUAACGGCUCACCAAGGCGACGCUCCCUAGCUGGUCUGAGAGGAUGAUCAGCCACACUGGGAAUGAGACACGGCCCAGACUCCUACGGGAGGCAGCAGUGGGGAAUAUUGCACAAUGGGCGCAAGCCUGAUGCAGCCAUGCCGCGUGUAUGAAGAAGGCCUUCGGGUUGUAAAGUACUUUCAGUCGGGAGGCGUUACCGACAGAAGAAGCACCGGCUAACUCCGUGCCAGCAGCCGCGGUAAUUC
RNAcentral lists this ribosomal RNA (406 nucleotides) under uncultured bacterium. RNAcentral describes it as "partial 16S ribosomal RNA". It matches the Rfam family "Bacterial small subunit ribosomal RNA", at positions 30 to 526 of the family's 1533-position model. The record is from RNAcentral.